RNAcentral lists this ribosomal RNA (505 nucleotides) under uncultured bacterium. Its description in RNAcentral is "partial 16S ribosomal RNA". It matches the Rfam family "Bacterial small subunit ribosomal RNA", at positions 28 to 507 of the family's 1533-position model. The record is from RNAcentral.
GACGAACGCUGGCGGCGUGCCUAAUACAUGCAAGUAGAACGCACAGUUUAUACCGUAGCUUGCUACACCAUACACUGUGAGUUGCGAACGGGUGAGUAACGCGUAGGUAACCUGCCUGGUAGCGGGGGAUAACUAUUGGAAACGAUAGCUAAUACCGCAUAAUAUUGAUUAUUGCAUGAUAAUUGAUUGAAAGAUGCUAUUGCAUCGCUACCAGAUGGACCUGCGUUGUAUUAGCUAGUAGGUGAGGUAACGGCUCACCUAGGCGACGAUACAUAGCCGACCUGAGAGGGUGAUCGGCCACACUGGGACUGAGACACGGCCCAGACUCCUACGGGAGGCAGCAGUAGGGAAUCUUCGGCAAUAGACGAAAGUCUGACCGAGCAACGCCGCGUGAGUGAAGAAGGUUUUCGGAUCGUAAAGCUCUGUUGUAAGAGAAGGACGGGUGUGAGAGUGGAAAGUUCACACUGUGACGGUAUCUUACCAGAAAGGGACGGCUAACUACGUG